GUUUUCAAAAGGGUCUUUCCAUAAAUUACUUUAUUUCUCAUUAAAUGAGCACAGAGUCAUUACCAUAUUAAUAACAGAUAUGUUUAUUAUUACAUAUCCAUCAGUGCGGCUUUCAAUACCACUUGAAACAUGCAAAUCGUCCUAAGGACGAAUCAGUUUUCCAGUGCUUCUUAUUUAAUACACAACUGCAAAGCCAUUAUAAAUUACUGAGGAGGUAUUUGGUUAAGAAAUAAAAUAAAAUAAAACCAUACUGCCCAUACCAUGAAUGUAUUCCUGCUACAAAGCAAGAGUCUGACAGCAUUCACUGCAAUUCCUGAAUUACCCAGAGCUUUUGUGUUACAUGCUUUCCUUUUUUUUUCCCUGCAUUGCCUACACAUCUCUUGGCUUAAACCCGAAUCAGUCUUUCUUUGUAAGAGGAAUUUUCAUUCAAAGAUUGUACUUAAUUUAGAAAAUGCAUCUACAAUACUUAAACCAAUUAAAAUUCAGUAAAAACCACGGAUAUGCGAUAGGUUUUUUAGACCUUUCCUUUGUUUAGUUUUAGAUUUCUACAUUUAUUGACAUGGCAAUAAUACAAUUAUCUCAAAUUAAGGCACUAAAAGGACAAUGUAAAACCCAGUAAAAGUGUUCUAAGAAUAAUUUACAGUUCAAACAGUGCAUAUAUUUCAUAAUGUUUGUUAACUUAAUGUACGUUAUCACUUAAAAUUGUAAGGCAAUACAUUACACAGUUAUAGAAAUGAUGUACCCCAAAAUACGCUUCCAAACUCGGUGGUUCGUUUUACUGUUAGUUUCUAAUGCCUCUAAUAGUACAAUAAUUCAGUAUGGCUUGGCAAAAAUGCAUAGAUUAAAGGCAAUUACUUGUUUUCCCCCCUUUACAAACCUGCUGAAAUCAGUAUUUUGUAAAGCAUAAUGCAAAAUAUUUAACACUUUGAUCCAUUCCAUAGUGGGUGGUUAGCAAUAAGGCUGUUAAGAACUCUGCAGUGAAGGCACUGAAGUUCAAGUGAUAAGGCUUCAUUUUUAAGCUAGUUCUGCAGUCUUCAAGAGCACAACUCUGAGUCUUGAAAGCAAUUGCAGUCCUUCUCACUGAGAUACCCUUCUCCUCUACUCCGUUUCGUAUGCUCAUCUUGACAUAAAUAGCCCCUUCACAGGGUGAGUAGUCCUUUUCUUUCACUGAUACGAAGAAAGUUGGCUGCAUUUCAUCACGACUGACAGGCUUUUUUUAAAAAAUCCAAAAAGGCAGCACCUUUUUUUAUACACCUAGCUAAGCUUUAUUUGCUUUAACUUGCAUUACAUAGUAAUAAUUAAUCUAAUCUACCUUUAGGCAAACC
This 1325-nucleotide long non-coding RNA is filed under the name Strigops habroptila (Kakapo). RNAcentral's name for it is "lncRNA (ENSSHBG00005009395.1)". The record is from RNAcentral. Lineage: Eukaryota; Metazoa; Chordata; Aves; Psittaciformes; Psittacidae.